UGGUUCUGGCAUNGAUGAAGAACGCAGCGAAAUGCGAUAAGUAAUGUGAAUUGCAGAAUUCAGCGAAUCAUCGAAUCUUUGAACGCACAUUGCGCCCGCCAGUAUUCUGGCGGGCAUGCCUGUUCGAGCGUCAUUUCAACCCUCAAGCACUGCUUGGUGUUGGGGCCUGCGGCGAGCAAUCGCCGCACCCCCUAAAAUCAGUGGCGGGCCCGCCUGGAUCCCGAGCGUAGUAGCACAUCUCGCUCGCGGAGCCCACGCGCGACACGCCGUAAAACCCCCAAAUUUUACAAGGUUGACCUCGGAUCAGGUAGGAAUACCCGCUGA
RNAcentral lists this unclassified non-coding RNA (324 nucleotides) under uncultured fungus. RNAcentral's name for it is "partial contains 5.8S ribosomal RNA and internal transcribed spacer 2". The stretch from base 1 to 133 matches the Rfam family "5.8S ribosomal RNA", at positions 22 to 154 of the family's 154-position model. Lineage: Eukaryota; Fungi. The record is from RNAcentral.